This is a long non-coding RNA of Perca fluviatilis (European perch), 751 nucleotides long. RefSeq lists it as uncharacterized. The transcript has 2 exons. The record is from RefSeq and is a predicted model, not a curated record. NCBI's taxonomy places the organism in Eukaryota, Metazoa, Chordata, Actinopteri, Perciformes, Percidae.
AGUUAGACUCGUGUCCUGAGUAUGAGGACAUCUCAGAGACUGCAGCACAGACAGAAGACCCAGAGGAGCAGGAAGACCUGGUGUGAAGUCAAACCAGAGGGAGACUCACAUGGAGGAAAAUAAAAAGAAGUCUUUAACUCCAAACGUUUUCAUUCUCAGUUAUUUAGAAGCAGCAGGUAGCAGAAGAUUAGAGAAGAAUGCAGCUUUAUUUGUACCUGUGCAGGUACAUAACAUAACUGAACUCAGUUCAGGAUUUGACUUAAUAUGCAAAGUGAUAUUUUAUGUAGUAAAAUAAUUUUAAGAAAUAUUGUUCACCCUUUCAUAUCACACCUGUCCUGGCAGAGAAAGCCAGUAAAGUCCAACUAUUCCACAGCAUGUACAGUAGAUCUUAUAUGGUAUAUUUUUACACAUUAAAAAACAUGAGCUCAGCUCUGUCAAACUUUGCUAGUUGUUCAUUUGUAUUGAAUGAAUUGUAUUGUAUUGCAUGUAUUGUAGUGUGAACAUCAUGCCAGUUCCCUCUCACUGCUGCAGAGGGAGAUAGUGUUCAGGUGCAAGCUUUUGAUUUCAGCUUUAAACAAACUCUUUUUGGGUUCAUUCUUCAGAAUGAAGUUUUUAUUGAUCAGUAAUGAGUGCAAAUUAAAUUUAAAUCAGUUGGUAUGUUCUGAUGUAUUUCUCACUUGCCCAAUGUUGUCCAUCUGUAAAACUUGUCACAGUGUAAUAAAGGUUUACUCUGGUGAACAACCUAAAACAG